RNAcentral lists this long non-coding RNA (605 nucleotides) under Strigops habroptila (Kakapo). RNAcentral describes it as "lncRNA (ENSSHBG00005019484.1)". Lineage: Eukaryota; Metazoa; Chordata; Aves; Psittaciformes; Psittacidae. The record is from RNAcentral.
GUGUGUAUUCCUGUUUAAAGGGGCAGUAGAGAAAUGACAUGUUCAAUGAGCGGGGAGCUAUAGUUAAUUGUUCUGGUGACAUCUGUGAUGGACUGUGGAUCAAUGGCUCCCCUGCUGCCUGUGGAAGUUCUGGAGGAAACCAUGGUGGAGCAGGUGUUUCUGUGCAGAGGACCACAGCGGAACAGGUACUCACACUGCAGCCUAUGAAGGACCCCAUGCCAGAGCAGCAAUUCCGGAUUUCACUGGCCAAUUUACCAGUCCCUAAGGGACAUAGAGCCAGAACCUGGAUCUGACACCUAUAUGGAGCAGGAGGUGCUUCGAGCAGCCAGCAUGAAAGGAGGCAAAAAGCCAAGUGGCAGAAUAUCUGCUGAGAAAGCUGAGAAGAUGACAGUCUCACAGGAGAAAAUGGAAGACAGCAGUGAUCUUUAGAUCUCACAUGAUGUCCGAAGAAUACAAGCUACAAAAGGAUCAGCACCUCAAGGAAUUCUAAGGCAUUACAAGAGGCAGCUUCCUUGGUUAGACAAAUCCAAACAUGGAAAUCAACUUUUUGCAAGCAUCAGGAUAAGUGCUAAUAUCUUGGACCCAGGAUGUGAAAGCAGAUGACU